CAGUCGCCGCGGGAAUACAGAGGGUGCAAGCGUUAAUCGGAGUUACUGGGCGUAAAGCGCGCGUAGGUGGUUUGUUAAGUUGGAUGUGAAAUCCCUGAGCUUAACUUAGGAAUUGCAUUCGAUACUGGGAAGCUAGAGUAUGGGAGAGGAUGGUAGAAUUCCAGGUGUAGCGGUGAAAUGCGUAGAGAUCUGGAGGAAUACCGAUGGCGAAGGCAGCCAUCUGGCCUAAUACUGACGCUGAGGUACGAAAGCAUGGGGAGCAAACAGGAUUAGAUACCCCCGUAGUCCCUGUCUCUUAUAC
RNAcentral lists this ribosomal RNA (301 nucleotides) under uncultured bacterium. Its description in RNAcentral is "partial 16S ribosomal RNA". It matches the Rfam family "Bacterial small subunit ribosomal RNA", at positions 509 to 807 of the family's 1533-position model. The record is from RNAcentral.